UAGGGAAUUUUCCACAAUGGACGAAAGUCUGAUGGAGCAACGCCGCGUGCAGGAUGAAUGCCUUCGGGUUGUAAACUGCUUUUAUAUGUGAAGAUUAUGACGGUAGCAUAUGAAUAAGGAUCGGCUAACUCCGUGCCAGCAGCCGCGGUCAUACGGAGGAUCCAAGCGUUAUCCGGAAUUACUGGGCGUAAAGAGUUGCGUAGGUGGCAUGGUAAGUAAAUAGUGAAAGCGUUCGGCUCAACCGGAUAUACAUUAUUUAAACUGCUAAGCUAGAGGACAAGAGAGGUCACUGGAAUUCCCUGUGUAGGAGUGAAAUCCGUAGAUAUAGGGAGGAACACCGAUGGCGUAGGCAGGUGACUGGCUUGUUCCUGACACUAAGGCACGAAAGCGUGGGUAGCAAACGGG
Molecule: ribosomal RNA, 405 nt
Filed under: uncultured bacterium
Lineage: Bacteria
Description: bacterial SSU rRNA
Rfam family: Bacterial small subunit ribosomal RNA
Source: RNAcentral